UUCAAGGCAGCUACUUUUUAUCUUAGAUUUUAACAGAAACUCAUGAAGAAAAGUCUUAAGACCUAAACUCCCAAGUCCCUUACUGUAUCAUUUUGAGUAUUAGGAAAUCAGUCAGAGGUCUUUUCAGCAUCUCUGAAAUCACAAUGCAAAAAUAGCCCCAGCUUCAUAAGGCCGAUUCUUGGUAUCUCUGUUCUGCAAAGUAGGGUAAGCAAGAUGCCACAAAAGGCAGGUUGAAUGCAGCAUUAUCCUCACUCCACCAACAGAACUAUCAUACUUUAAGUAACCCAGCAGGUCUUUAAAAUAAAGAAAUUAUAAAACAUAAGGAAAAACUUUCUUGAGAGGAAAAAAUUUACAAAUCAGAGGAAAAUCUUCUAGAACUUUUACAUCUUAUAACAAAUAAAUCAUAUGCUUUAUUGUUUUCCUCUGAGUACAUCAUCAGUACUUCCAUAAUACUUCUAAUUUUUGGCUUGAAAACACCAGUUGCUUAAAAAAACACAGGGACACAAAACAAAAUCCCAGAAAUGUAUAAUUAUUUUUUUUAAGCUGACAAAGGAGUAACACACCACUGACUUCUCAGGGAAAAGCUUUCAAGCAAAGCAGUCAUUUCUGGUGGGGAUUAUAGAAGAGGGAGUUAUCAUGGUGAGAUGGUGGAACUAAUCCAGAACAAGCCAGAUUUUUAGUAUUGACAAAGGGAUUUAAUCAGUUGCCCAGGAAUACUCACUCACUUGGAAAUCAAACUUCCAUCAUUAUUCUUGGAAGAAUUUCUGGAACUUCCCCUUUGGAAACAAAUUUUUAUCUUCAAAAAUACCAGACAAUAGAAGAAAAGAAAUGAAAAAGGAGGCAGAGGAAGAUGAAUCUUGCUUAGGCAGGGACUGAAAGGGAAUUCGUGGCCAUAGGCCACAUUUUUCAGCGCCCACUGUGUGACGGCUUUCCCCAGGACCACACGUGUGCCACUGAACAAGAAGAGUCCACAGGGACCUUCACCUUAUUCCUCCCCAACAUCAAAACCAAAAUGGAACAACCUACCAUGAGAAUAUGAGUAUAUAUCACAACUUCCAUUACAUUUAAAGCAUGCAGAGUAUCUAAUUGCAAAUUCAAACAGUGGAAAAACAAAUCUACUUGCCUCCUGGCCACAGCCUUACUCUUUUAAGAGAAUGUGGUCUAUGCUUUCUAAUCCCAUCACCAGGGAUAAAUAACCACAGGUUUGUGUGACAUAGAACCACCUCCAUGCAGAGGUUUGUCAAGGAGGACAGAAACUCAGAGCACCCUGCACUUGGGGAUCGGCACUAGGAGCUGCUCUCUGGAUGGGGAGAUGGGAGCUAGCAGCUCACAAUGGGGUCACAAGACAGGAGUGUUAUUGGGAGAAUCCUGUUUUGUUGACAAAUACUGAGAUCAUCCAACUCACCAGGCAAAGUUGACUUGUGUAAGUGAUCUUCAGAUAUGAAAAGUGUGGAACCCAGCUGCUCCUCCUCAGAUAGGCGACAUGACAAUUGUAGGCCUGGAGGGAGAUGAGUUGACAACAUCCCUUCCCUAUAACCACUUGUUGGAUCUGAUCUCACAUACACAGACUCACUCCAAAGACUGACCUGGGUGUCUGCUUCUCAGCUUCAUUAACAGUGGGUGCUCACAAGUCUAGUGGAGAGAAUGUCUGAGAAGAGGAGGACCUUGACUGCUCCUGAACCGGAGACCUCAGAACCAUGGUGCUCUCCUGUCCAGGCUGAACACUAAUGCUCUUGAGAGUCACAUUGAAGAAAGCCAACAUUUUUAAAUCUAAUGGAUACAUUCAUUUUGUGGUAUGUGAUGUUUAGAAAGAGGGAGCUAAAGUUAGUGGUCAUGAGCUAAAUACCCUGUGAGCAUCUUCACUCUCCUUCUGUAUCACAGACUAAAACCCACUGACUUGAUCAUCUGUCCCUUGCCCCUCGUCCACAUAGUGAACUUCUUCAUUGCACUGUUAUUGCAGUCUCCAAAUCUGUUUGCAUCAUUGAACUUCAGAAUGACUUCAAGUGUAAGGCACUUUUCCACCUGAGCAGGGUGUUGUGGGGCCUCUCUAUCUGCACCACCUGCCCCCUGAGUGUGUUCCAGGCCACCACCAUCAGCCCCAGCACCUCCUGAUUGGCAAGGUUUAAACAUAAAUCUUCAAAUUACAUUAUCCAUGUUUUCUUCUUCUUAUGGUUCCUCAACUUGUCUUUCAGUAGUAACAGGAUCUUCUACACUGUAGCUGCUUCCAGUGUGAGCCAGACAAAUGUACUGAAUAUAGGUAAGUACUGCUCAGUUUUCUCCAUGAGCUUCAUCCUCAGGGCCACGUUUCUUAUUCUGACAACACUUAGGGAUGCUUUCCUGGUAGGAAUACUGCUGUUCUUAAUUGCAUACAUGGUGACUCUCUUAUUCAGGCCUCAGAGGUGAUCCCACCACCUUCACAGCAAUGGUCCUUCCCCAGGAGCUUCCCCUGAGAAACGGGCCAUCCAGACCAUACUGCUGCUGAAUAAUGUCUCAUUGGAAAUCUCAACAUUCUUCAUUUAGAACACCACCGCCAAUAUCUACCAUAUGCCGGGAUUAUUGUGCAGGGUAAUUUUUAUUAUUACUUGAAUGUAUAUUUAUAUACUGCAGGAACUAUACAUGUUUAUGGCUAGAAUUACUGUUUUUCCUUAAUAUUAAGAUAGUAUUGGUAGAUUUAAUUAUCUGAAUUUAGUCAUUUGGCUCCAGUCAAAAUGGUUUCUCCUUAGCAGUACUCUGACUUUGUAAAAGUAAUCACAUUUGGAUUCUGUUUCCUCCAGUAGUUUUUAAAAUGAUUUUUUUGAUUAUUCAUAUAACUUUUUUUUAAUGAUCUUUUAAAAACUAGUAUGUGGUUAUAUAUUACUUGUUACACUUUUUGUUUUCUUUAUUUUUUGGUUGGUUACACCUUAAAUGAUUAUUUCUAUUGCCUUUUAAUGUUACUUAGAAAAUAUCACAUGUAAGACUUUUGCUUUUAUAAAGUUAGUAAUACAUUUUCAAGCCUAAACUCUUGAAAUUUUAAUAAUUUCUAUGAUAUUUGAAAAUUAUUUUUAUCUUCUUUUGAGUGCUAAAAGAUAAUAUUUGUCUACCUGAUUAACUAGCACAACUUUUAAAAAGUUAUUUAGCACUCUUUAUAUUCAUUCAUUUGUUUU
This is a long non-coding RNA of Homo sapiens (human), 3143 nucleotides long. RefSeq annotates it as long independently transcribed non-coding RNA 3075. The record is from RefSeq and is a predicted model, not a curated record. Lineage: Eukaryota; Metazoa; Chordata; Mammalia; Primates; Hominidae. The transcript has 8 exons.